CCUACGGGAGGCAGCAGUGAGGAAUAUUGGUCAAUGGACGCAAGUCUGAACCAGCCAUGCCGCGUGCAGGAAGACGGCUCUAUGAGUUGUAAACUGCUUUUGUACGAGGGUAAAUCCCGAUACGUGUAUCGGGUUGAAAGUAUCGUACGAAUAAGGAUCGGCUAACUCCGUGCCAGCAGCCGCGGUAAUACGGAGGAUUCAAGCGUUAUCCGGAUUUAUUGGGUUUAAAGGGUGCGUAGGCGGUUCGAUAAGUUAGAGGUGAAAUCCCGGGGCUCAACUCCGGCACUGCCUCUGAUACUGUCGGGCUAGAGUUUAGUUGCGGUAGGCGGAAUGUAUGGUGUAGCGGUGAAAUGCAUAGAUAUCGCGCAGAACUCCGAUUGCGAAGGCAGCAUGCCGGCUCCACACUGACGCUGAGGCACGAAAGCGUGGGUAUCGAACAGGAUUAGAUACCCUUGUAGUC
Molecule: ribosomal RNA, 460 nt
Filed under: uncultured bacterium
Lineage: Bacteria
Description: partial 16S ribosomal RNA
Rfam family: Bacterial small subunit ribosomal RNA
Source: RNAcentral